This 1493-nucleotide ribosomal RNA is filed under the name Lacticaseibacillus casei. Its description in RNAcentral is "bacterial SSU rRNA". It matches the Rfam family "Bacterial small subunit ribosomal RNA". The record is from RNAcentral. Lineage: Bacteria; Bacillati; Bacillota; Bacilli; Lactobacillales; Lactobacillaceae.
AGAUGACGCUGGCGGCGUGCCUAAUACAUGCAAGUCGAACGAGUUCUCGUUGAUGAUCGGUGCUUGCACCGAGAUUCAACAUGGAACGAGUGGCGGACGGGUGAGUAACACGUGGGUAACCUGCCCUUAAGUGGGGGAUAACAUUUGGAAACAGAUGCUAAUACCGCAUAGAUCCAAGAACCGCAUGGUUCUUGGCUGAAAGAUGGCGUAAGCUAUCGCUUUUGGAUGGACCCGCGGCGUAUUAGCUAGUUGGUGAGGUAAUGGCUCACCAAGGCGAUGAUACGUAGCCGAACUGAGAGGUUGAUCGGCCACAUUGGGACUGAGACACGGCCCAAACUCCUACGGGAGGCAGCAGUAGGGAAUCUUCCACAAUGGACGCAAGUCUGAUGGAGCAACGCCGCGUGAGUGAAGAAGGCUUUCGGGUCGUAAAACUCUGUUGUUGGAGAAGAAUGGUCGGCAGAGUAACUGUUGUCGGCGUGACGGUAUCCAACCAGAAAGCCACGGCUAACUACGUGCCAGCAGCCGCGGUAAUACGUAGGUGGCAAGCGUUAUCCGGAUUUAUUGGGCGUAAAGCGAGCGCAGGCGGUUUUUUAAGUCUGAUGUGAAAGCCCUCGGCUUAACCGAGGAAGCGCAUCGGAAACUGGGAAACUUGAGUGCAGAAGAGGACAGUGGAACUCCAUGUGUAGCGGUGAAAUGCGUAGAUAUAUGGAAGAACACCAGUGGCGAAGGCGGCUGUCUGGUCUGUAACUGACGCUGAGGCUCGAAAGCAUGGGUAGCGAACAGGAUUAGAUACCCUGGUAGUCCAUGCCGUAAACGAUGAAUGCUAGGUGUUGGAGGGUUUCCGCCCUUCAGUGCCGCAGCUAACGCAUUAAGCAUUCCGCCUGGGGAGUACGACCGCAAGGUUGAAACUCAAAGGAAUUGACGGGGGCCCGCACAAGCGGUGGAGCAUGUGGUUUAAUUCGAAGCAACGCGAAGAACCUUACCAGGUCUUGACAUCUUUUGAUCACCUGAGAGAUCAGGUUUCCCCUUCGGGGGCAAAAUGACAGGUGGUGCAUGGUUGUCGUCAGCUCGUGUCGUGAGAUGUUGGGUUAAGUCCCGCAACGAGCGCAACCCUUAUGACUAGUUGCCAGCAUUUAGUUGGGCACUCUAGUAAGACUGCCGGUGACAAACCGGAGGAAGGUGGGGAUGACGUCAAAUCAUCAUGCCCCUUAUGACCUGGGCUACACACGUGCUACAAUGGAUGGUACAACGAGUUGCGAGACCGCGAGGUCAAGCUAAUCUCUUAAAGCCAUUCUCAGUUCGGACUGUAGGCUGCAACUCGCCUACACGAAGUCGGAAUCGCUAGUAAUCGCGGAUCAGCACGCCGCGGUGAAUACGUUCCCGGGCCUUGUACACACCGCCCGUCACACCAUGAGAGUUUGUAACACCCGAAGCCGGUGGCGUAACCCUUUUAGGGAGCGAGCCGUCUAAGGUGGGACAAAUGAUUAGGGGAA